GAUGAACGCUGGCGGCGUGCCUAAUACAUGCAAGUCGAGCGAACAGACGAGGAGCUUGCUCCUCUGACGUUAGCGGCGGACGGGUGAGUAAAACGUGGAUAACCUACCUAUAAGACUGGGAUAACUUCGGGAAACCGGAGCUAAUACCGGGUAAUAUAUUGAACCGCAUGGUUCAAUAGUGAAAGACGGUUUUGCUGUCACUUAUAGAUGGAUCCGCGCCGCAUUAGCUGGUUGGUAAGGUAACGGCUUACCAAGGCAACGAUGGGUAGCCGACCUGAGAGGGUGAUCGGCCACACUGGAACUGAGACACGGUCCAGACUCCUACGGGAGGCAGCAGUAGGGAAUCUUCCGCAAUGGGCGAAAGCCUGACGGAGCAACGCCGCGUGGGUGAUGAAGGUCUUCGGAUCGUAAAACUCUGUUAUUAGGGAAGAACAAAUGUGUAAGUAACUAUGCACGUCUUGACGGUACCUAAUCAGAAAGCCACGGCUAACUACGUG
This 497-nucleotide ribosomal RNA is filed under the name uncultured bacterium. Its description in RNAcentral is "partial 16S ribosomal RNA". It matches the Rfam family "Bacterial small subunit ribosomal RNA", at positions 28 to 507 of the family's 1533-position model. The record is from RNAcentral.